RNAcentral lists this ribosomal RNA (253 nucleotides) under uncultured bacterium. RNAcentral describes it as "partial 16S ribosomal RNA". It matches the Rfam family "Bacterial small subunit ribosomal RNA", at positions 524 to 776 of the family's 1533-position model. The record is from RNAcentral.
UACGUAAGGGGCAAGCGUUAUCCGGAUUUACUGGGUGUAAAGGGUGAGUAGGCGGUUCGGCAAGUCAUAUGUGAAAUACCUGGGCUCAACCCAGGAACCGCAUAAGAAACUGUCGGACUUGAGUACAGGAGAGGUAAGCGGAAUUCCCAGUGUAGCGGUGAAAUGCGUAGAUAUUGGGAAGAACACCGGUGGCGAAGGCGGCUUACUGGACUGAAACUGACGCUGAGUCACGAAAGCGUGGGGAGCGAACAGG